RNAcentral lists this transfer RNA (69 nucleotides) under Mogera hainana. RNAcentral describes it as "tRNA-His". It matches the Rfam family "tRNA". From Rfam's summary of the family: Transfer RNA (tRNA) molecules are approximately 80 nucleotides in length. Their secondary structure includes four short double-helical elements and three loops (D, anti-codon, and T loops). Lineage: Eukaryota; Metazoa; Chordata; Mammalia; Eulipotyphla; Talpidae. The record is from RNAcentral.
GUAAGUAUAGUUUAACUAAAACAUUAGAUUGUGAGUCUAAAAAUAGGAAAUUACAUCUCCUUAUUUACC